CUGGGCGUGCUCUUAUUGGCUCCACCUCGCUCAGGUAUUCGCUAAAAAAGAGCGAAUUCCUGAGCGACUUAACACUAAUGGUGUAUGUAUGAGCACCUACUCCGUAAAAGUAAUUGUAAUCUCAUGAAUAGCUCCGUAAAGCUAGCUAGCUACUACUAUGGCAAUUUCAACGUCUUUUGAUAUCCAAGAAGCAUUAGCGUAUGCACUGUCUUGUGUGAAGCAAGAAGGACUGAUCCUCAAGGAACAGCAGGUCCGUGCUCUCAAGCUCCUGUCAGAAGGAAGGGACGUUUUUGUGUGGUUCCCAACUGGGUAUGGCAAGUCUCUGUGCUAUCAAUUGCUACCCUUCUUGAUGGACUACAAGCUUGGUAGGACUAAGGGUCCUCUUGUCGCCAGAAGUGUAGUUCUUGUCAUCUCUCCCCUUGUGUCUCUCAUGAUUGACCAGGAGUCUGAACACUAGAGGUGUUUCUGCUGCCAUCCUCAGUAGUAAUAAGGGAAUCGACAGAAGUCUUGUUGCCACUAACAAAGAUGUGUCGGAUGGAAAGUACCGUCUGCUGUUCACUGCCCCAGAGGCUGUUGUUGAAGACUAUCGUUGGAGGAUGCUAUUACUAGAGCCUCCACUCAAUUCCUCUUUAGUGGCAAUAGCUGUGGACGAAGCACACUGUGUUUACAAGUGGAGCUCUGACUUUCGUCCUGCCUAUGCACACCUAGGUGAGCUUAGAGCAUUUGCCCCUCCUGGUGCUCCAAUGUUGGCUGCAAACUGGAUAGUUUCUGACCUACCCUCUAGCUCCACAGCGAUUGCAGAUGAUGUCGAGGCACUGGCAUUAUGUGGACCAUCAAUGAGUAAAAGCAAGCCUUUUUCCUCGAACCCCGAUGGUACUCCUCUUUGCUGAUGGACGUGAGCUCACAGUGAAAGGAGAUGCGUCGGAACCACUCGUGUCCUUAGUCCUUUUCUUAGGGGCUGAUCUUACUGGACUACUAGGGAGCUGCUCUUUGGACACUUGUUUCUGGUAGCUACGUCUGGCCAGGAGCCUGAACACCUCUAUGGACUCUAUCUUCUUGAUACAAGAAAGACAGACAAUCUUUGACAGGCCAUCUGAAUCACUAACAGGCAGAUCCAAUGCAAGACUGAGCCUCCCUGGAAUAUCUUCUUUGAGAGCCUUACUGCUGAACAAAUGUUUAUAUCUUCUGUUUUGUAUGGCAUCAGUGCUGCAACAUAACCUACAAAGAACAAACUUAGAAGCCAUCAUUAAUUUUAUUCAAUUUUCAUUUGACCACAUGGACUAACUAGUGUUCAAGCUGGCGCUGUGCUAAUGCCUCUCGCCAUGUUUUUGCUUUCGCUCAAAAGUAUUAGAGUGUUAUCUAUAAUGAAUUUUAUAUUAAAGUUAGCUUAUCUAUAUAAAGUCACUGAGAAGAAAAGACUUAUUUACAUGCAUCUAUUGUAAGUUAUUAUUUUUUGUAUUAUGUGGCUUACCAGGACAUCAAGAAAGAAGAAAAUUGAUUCUUCCAGGAUCUGUAGUUCAGUGUAUAUAAUAUCUAAGAAGAAAAGACCUGUGUACAUGCAUAUUGUUAUCUAUAUUGUUAUAUGGUAGUGUUUUGUGGCUUACCAGGCCCUCAAGACAAAGAUGAUUCUGCCAGGAGGAUCUGGAUCUGGAUCUUGGAUAUUAUUUUCUCACACAUGGGGAAUGAGCGCGCAUGCGCAUUACAUCCACAGGAAUAAUUAAAGGGUGUGUCCAAAGAGAUCAAUUUUACAAAUGGCUACUGUACUGCUAGCUAGCUGUUUUAACAGAUAUUUUCUGAGUAUUGUAGCUAACAAAAAGCUAGCGCUUUAGUGCAAGGCUAACUCAUAUGUUGAAUAGAAAGUUUGUGCGGACAGAUGAUGC
Halichondria panicea is the source of this 1880-nucleotide long non-coding RNA. RefSeq lists it as uncharacterized. The record is from RefSeq and is a predicted model, not a curated record. NCBI's taxonomy places the organism in Eukaryota, Metazoa, Porifera, Demospongiae, Suberitida, Halichondriidae. The transcript is spliced from 3 exons.